UAAAAUAUAGGCUUAAAUUUAUAUAGGAAAAAAAAAAGAGAGAGGCUGAAGUAGAGAAUGAUGGGCCACGAGAGACUAGAAAAUGGCACAGCCGAGCCCAACCCAUGGGACGAAAACCCUAACCUUAUAUAACACUCACACACUCCCUUCGGAACCCACAAAUUCUCUCUCUGUCUCAUUCUCUUUUAUAGGCUGCGGAGAAUUCCUCUCUCUCUACCGCGAUUCUUCUUGAGGUGGUUCACCUCCUUAUAAUUACAAAUUGGUGGUUUCUCUUAAAUACUAGUCAAGAUGGUGAAGUUUACAGCAGAGGAACUCCGUAGGAUUAUGGACUACAAGCAUAACAUUCGUAAUAUGUCCGUUAUUGCACAUGUUGAUCAUGGGAAGUCAACCCUUACCGACUCUCUUGUUGCUGCUGCUGGUAUCAUUGCACAAGAAGUUGCUGGUGAUGUCCGGAUGACAGAUACCCGUGCAGAUGAGGCAGGGCGUGGUAUCACAAUCAAAUCUACUGGUAUCUCUCUCUACUAUGAGAUGACUGAUGAAGCUUUGAAGAGCUACAAGGGGGAGAGAAACGGAAAUGAGUACCUCAUCAAUCUCAUUGAUUCCCCUGGGCACGUUGACUUUUCAUCUGAAGUCACAGCUGCUCUUCGUAUUACUGACGGUGCACUUGUGGUGGUUGAUUGCAUUGAGGGUGUUUGUGUCCAAACAGAGACUCUGCUUCGUCAAGCCUUAGGAGAAAAGAUCAGACCUGUUUUCACUGUUAACAAGAUGGACAGGUGCUUCCUUGAGCUCCAGGUCGAUGGAGAGGAGGCUUACCGAGCAUUCCAAAGGGUUAUUGAGAAUGCUAAUGUCAUUCUGGCUACAUACGAAGACCCCCUUCUUGGUGAUGUCCAGGUACUAUCCAGUGAAAGGAACAGUCGCCUUUGCAGCUGGUUUACACAGAUGGGCCUUUACUCUGACCAACUUUGCCAAGAUGUAUGCAUCCAAGUUCGGAGUUGAUGAAUCAAAGAUGAUGGAAAGGCUCUGGGGUGAGAACUACUUUGACCCAGCUACCAAGAAAUGGACCAGCAAGAACACUGGUUCUGCUACCUGCAAGAGUGGUUUCGUUCAGUUCUGUUAUGAACCCAUCAAGCAGAUUAUCAACACCUGCAUGAAUGAUCAGAAGGACAAGUUGUGGCCCAUGUUGACAAAGCUUGGUGUCACAAUGAAGAGUGAUGAAAAGGAGCUGAUGGGGAAGGCGUUGAUGAAGCGUGUCAUGCAGACCUGGCUACCAGCCAGCAGUGCCCUAUUGGAAAUUAUCAUCUUUCACCUUCCCUCUACUUCAACAGACCAGAGAUACCGUGUUGAGAACCUUUACGAGGGUCCCCUUGAUGAUCAAUAUGCAAAUGCUAUCAGGAACUGUGAUCCUGAAGGACCUCUUAUGUUUUAUGUAUCUAAGAUGAUUCCCUCAUCUGACAAGGGUCGAUUCUUUGCGUUUGGUCGUGUCCUUGCUGGUAAAGUCCAGACAGGUUUGAAGGUUAGAAUCACGGUCCAAAUUAUGUUCCUGGAGAGAAGAAGGAUUUGUAUGUUAAGAACGUGCAGAGUAAUGUAUAA
Prunus mume (Japanese apricot) is the source of this 1590-nucleotide non-coding RNA. NCBI's taxonomy places the organism in Eukaryota, Viridiplantae, Streptophyta, Magnoliopsida, Rosales, Rosaceae. The record is from RefSeq and is a predicted model, not a curated record.